AACGAACGCUGGCGGCGCGCUUAACACAUGCAAGUCGAACGAGAAGCUGUAGCAAUACAGUUGUACAGUGGCGAACGGGUGAGGAAUACAUGGGUAACCUACCCUCGAGUGGGGAAGUAACCAGCCGAAAGGCUGGCUAAUACCGCGUACGCUUCCCAAUCUGCGGGUUGGGAAGGAAAGACUCUACCGUGGGUAGAGCGCUCAAGGACGGGCUCAUGUCCUAUCAGCUUGNGGUUAGGGUAACGGCCUACCAAGGACAACGACGGGUAGGCUGGUCUGAGAGGACGGAUCAGCCACACUGGCACUGCGACACGGGCCGAGACUCCUACGGGAGGCAGCAGUGAGGAAUAUUGCGCAAUGGGC
RNAcentral lists this ribosomal RNA (363 nucleotides) under uncultured bacterium. RNAcentral describes it as "bacterial SSU rRNA". It matches the Rfam family "Bacterial small subunit ribosomal RNA", at positions 29 to 376 of the family's 1533-position model. The record is from RNAcentral.